This 486-nucleotide ribosomal RNA is filed under the name uncultured bacterium. RNAcentral's name for it is "partial 16S ribosomal RNA". It matches the Rfam family "Bacterial small subunit ribosomal RNA", at positions 30 to 507 of the family's 1533-position model. The record is from RNAcentral.
AUUGAACGCUGGCGACAUGCCUUACACAUGCAAGUCGAACGGCAGCACGGGUGCUUGCACCUGGUGGCGAGUGGCGAACGGGUGAGUAAUACAUCGGAACAUGUCCUGUAGUGGGGGAUAGCCCAGCGAAAGCCGGAUUAAUACCGCAUACGAUCUACGGAUGAAAGCGGGGGACCUUCGGGCCUCGCGCUAUAGGGUUGGCCGAUGGCUGAUUAGCUAGUUGGUGGGGUAAAGGCCUACCAAGGCGACGAUCAGUAGCUGGUCUGAGAGGACGACCAGCCACACUGGGACUGAGACACGGCCCAGACUCCUACGGGAGGCAGCAGUGGGGAAUUUUGGACAAUGGGCGAAAGCCUGAUCCAGCAAUGCCGCGUGUGUGAAGAAGGCCUUCGGGUUGUAAAGCACUUUUGUCCGGAAAGAAAUCCUUGGCCCUAAUACGGUCGGGGGAUGACGGUACCGGAAGAAUAAGCACCGGCUAACUACGUG